GACGAACGCUGGCGGCGUGCUUAACACAUGCAAGUCGAACGGAAAGGCCCUGCUUUUGGUGGGGGCUCGAGUGGCGAAGGGGAGAGUAACAUGUGAGUGACCUGGCCUGGGCGUUGGGAUAACCUCAGGGAACUGGGGCUAAUACCGGAAAUGAGCUCCGGCUGCAUGGUGGGGGUUGGAAAGUUUCGGCGGUGGGGGAUGGACUGGCGGCUUAUCAGCUUGUUGGGGGGGUAGCGGAUUACCAAGGCGUUGACGGGUAGCCGGCAUGGGAGGGUUAACGGACACAUUGGGACUGAGAUAGGGACCAGACGCCUACGGGAGGCAGCAGUGGGGAAUAUUGUACAACGGGCGGGAGCCUGAUGCAGCAACGCCGCGUGCGGGAUGACGGCCUUCGGGUUGUAAACCGCUUUCGCCUGUGACGAAGCGUGAGUGACGGUAAUGGGUAAAGAAGCACCGGCUAACUACGUG
This 468-nucleotide ribosomal RNA is filed under the name uncultured bacterium. RNAcentral describes it as "partial 16S ribosomal RNA". It matches the Rfam family "Bacterial small subunit ribosomal RNA", at positions 28 to 507 of the family's 1533-position model. The record is from RNAcentral.